Non-coding RNA from Podarcis lilfordi (Lilford's wall lizard), 74 nucleotides. The record is from the annotation of a GenBank genome assembly. Lineage: Eukaryota; Metazoa; Chordata; Lepidosauria; Squamata; Lacertidae.
UCUUGUGUAGCUCAGUUGGUUAGAACAUGGUCUGAUAACACCAGGGUUGCAGGUUUGAUUCUCUGCUGUGGGAC